RNAcentral lists this ribosomal RNA (247 nucleotides) under uncultured bacterium. RNAcentral's name for it is "partial 16S ribosomal RNA". It matches the Rfam family "Bacterial small subunit ribosomal RNA", at positions 524 to 770 of the family's 1533-position model. The record is from RNAcentral.
UACGUAGGGUGCAAGCGUUAAUCGGAAUUACUGGGCGUAAAGCGUGCGCAGGCGGUUUUGUAAGUUUGUCGUGAAAUCCCCGGGCUCAACCUGGGAAUGGCGAUGAAGACUGCAAGGCUAGAAUCUGGCAGAGGGGGGUGGAAUUCCACGUGUAGCAGUGAAAUGCGUAGAGAUGUGGAGGAACACCGAUGGCGAAGGCAGCCCCCUGGGCUAACACUGACGCUCAUGCACGAAAGCGUGGGGAGCA